CGGACGGGUGAGUAACGCGUGAGAAUCUGCCCUCAGGAGGGGGAUAACGGCUGGAAACGGCCGCUAAUACCCCAUAUGCCGCGAGGUGAAAUGAAUUUCGCCUGAGGAUGAGCCCGCGUCUGAUUAGCUAGUUGGUGGGGUAAAGGCCUACCAAGGCGACGAUCAGUAGCUGGUCUGAGAGGAUGAUCAGCCACACUGGGACUGAGACACGGCCCAGACUCCUACGGGAGGCAGCAGUGGGGAAUUUUCCGCAAUGGGCGAAAGCCUGACGGAGCAACGCCGCGUGAGGGAUGAAGGCCUCUGGGCUGUAAACCUCUUUUCUCAAGGAAGAAGACCUGACGGUACUUGAGGAAUAAGCCACGGCUAAUUCCGUGCCAGCAGCCGCGGUAAUACGGGAGUGGCAAGCGUUAUCCGGAAUUAUUGGGCGUAAAGCGUCCGCAGGCGGCCUUGUAAGUCUGUCGUUAAAGCGUGGAGCUUAACUCCAUUUCGGCGAUGGAAACUACAAGGCUUGAGUGUGGUAGGGGCAGAGGGAAUUCCCGGUGUAGCAGUGAAAUGCGUAGAUAUCGGGAAGAACACCAGUGGCGAAGGCGCUCUGCUGGGCCAUAACUGACGCUCAUGGACGAAAGCCAGGGGAGCGAAAGGGAUUAGAUACCCCUGUAGUC
RNAcentral lists this ribosomal RNA (662 nucleotides) under uncultured Cyanobacterium sp. RNAcentral's name for it is "bacterial SSU rRNA". It matches the Rfam family "Bacterial small subunit ribosomal RNA", at positions 99 to 795 of the family's 1533-position model. Lineage: Bacteria; Bacillati; Cyanobacteriota; Cyanophyceae; Chroococcales; Geminocystaceae. The record is from RNAcentral.